This 486-nucleotide ribosomal RNA is filed under the name uncultured bacterium. RNAcentral's name for it is "partial 16S ribosomal RNA". It matches the Rfam family "Bacterial small subunit ribosomal RNA", at positions 29 to 507 of the family's 1533-position model. The record is from RNAcentral.
AUUGAACGCUGGCGGCAUGCCUUACACAUGCAAGUCGAACGGCAGCACGGGUGCUUGCACCUGGUGGCGAGUGGCGAACGGGUGAGUAAUACAUCGGAACAUGUCCUGUAGUGGGGGAUAGCCCGGCGAAAGCCGGAUUAAUACCGCAUACGAUCUACGGAUGAAAGCGGGGGACCUUCGGGCCUCGCGCUUUAGGGUUGGCCGAUGGCUGAUUAGCUAGUUGGUGGGGUAAAGGCCUACCAAGGCGACGAUCAGUAGCUGGUCUGAGAGGACGACCAGCGACACUGGAAAGGAGACACGGUCCAGACGAGUACGGGAGGCAGCAGUGGGGAAUGGUGGACAAUGGGCGAAAGACUGAAGGAGCAACGCCGCGUGAGUGAAGAAGGCCUGCGGGUUGGAAAGAUAUUUUAUGAGGGAAGAAGAGAUGGAGGGGAAUAUAGUCAGGUAAUGACGGUACAUGAAGAAUAAGACACGGCUAACUACGUG